GGCCCUUAUAGGUGGGGCUACACACGUCAUACAAUGGCCGGUACAGAGGGUAGCCAACCCGCGAGGGGGAGCCAAUCCCACCAAAAGCCGGUCGUAGUCCGGAUCGCAGUCUGCAACUCGACUGCGUGAAGUCGGAAUCGCUAGUAAUCGCGGAUCAGCAUGUCGCGGUGAAUACGUUCCCGGGUCUU
Molecule: ribosomal RNA, 188 nt
Filed under: uncultured Allobrachymonas sp.
Lineage: Bacteria; Pseudomonadati; Pseudomonadota; Betaproteobacteria; Burkholderiales; Comamonadaceae
Description: uncultured Brachymonas sp. partial 16S ribosomal RNA
Rfam family: Bacterial small subunit ribosomal RNA
Source: RNAcentral